GCCCUCCUGUGGUACAAUGGGUUAGUGUGCCUGGCUGUCAAUCAGAAGGUUGGUGGUUCAAGUCCAACCAGGGAUG
Molecule: non-coding RNA, 76 nt
Organism: Podarcis lilfordi (Lilford's wall lizard)
Lineage: Eukaryota; Metazoa; Chordata; Lepidosauria; Squamata; Lacertidae
Source: the annotation of a GenBank genome assembly